RNAcentral lists this ribosomal RNA (253 nucleotides) under uncultured bacterium. RNAcentral describes it as "partial 16S ribosomal RNA". It matches the Rfam family "Bacterial small subunit ribosomal RNA", at positions 524 to 776 of the family's 1533-position model. The record is from RNAcentral.
UACGUAGGGUGCAAGCGUUGUCCGGAAUUAUUGGGCGUAAAGAGCUCGUAGGCGGUUUGUUGCGUCGGCUGUGAAAUCCCGAGGCUCAACCUCGGGUCUGCAGUCGAUACGAGCAAACUAGAGUGUUGCAGGGGAGACUGGAAUUCCUGGUGUAGCGGUGAAAUGCGUAGAUAUCUGGAGGAACACCGGUGGCGAAGGCGGCAUCCUGGACCAACACUGACACUGAGGAGCGAAAGCCAGGGGAGCAAACGGG